GGACCCGUGGCCUAGCUGGAUAGGGCGUCACCCUCCUAAGGUGAAUAUCGCGAGUUCAAAUCUUGCCGGGUCCG
This 74-nucleotide transfer RNA is filed under the name Promethearchaeota archaeon. RNAcentral's name for it is "Candidatus Lokiarchaeota archaeon (microbial mat metagenome) tRNA-Arg". It matches the Rfam family "tRNA". Rfam says of the family: Transfer RNA (tRNA) molecules are approximately 80 nucleotides in length. Their secondary structure includes four short double-helical elements and three loops (D, anti-codon, and T loops). Lineage: Archaea; Promethearchaeati; Promethearchaeota. The record is from RNAcentral.